AGGAUCAUUCGCAAUGGGCGAAAGCCUGACGAUGCGACGCUGCGUGGAGGAUGAAGGCCUUCGGGUUGUAAACUCCUGUCAUGGGGGAACAGGCGAGGGGAGCGAACACCUCCCUUAGUUGAGUGUACCCCAAGAGGAAUUGGCGGCUAACUCUGUGCCAGCAGCCGCGGUAAUACAGAGGCCAAGAGCGUUGUUCGGAUUUACUGGGCGUAAAGGGCGCGUAGGCGGCGCGGCGUGUCAAGUGUGAAAUCUCCGCGCCCAACCCGGAAAGUGCGCUUGAAACUACCGCGCUCGAGUGCGGAAGGGGGAAUCGGAAUAUAGGGUGUAGCGGUGAAAUGCGUUGAUAUCCUAUAGAACACCGGAGGCGAAGGCGGAUUCCUUGUACGCAACUGACGCUGAGGCGCGAAAGCCGGGGGAGCAAACA
RNAcentral lists this ribosomal RNA (424 nucleotides) under uncultured bacterium. RNAcentral describes it as "bacterial SSU rRNA". It matches the Rfam family "Bacterial small subunit ribosomal RNA", at positions 358 to 774 of the family's 1533-position model. The record is from RNAcentral.